UACGGGGGGUGCAAGCGUUGUUCGGAAUUAUUGGGCGUAAAGAGCGUGUAGGCGGCUUGGUAAGUCAGAUGUGAAAGCCCUGGGCUUAACCCAGGAAGUGCAUUUGAAACUGCCAGGCUUGAGUAGGGGAGAGGGAAGUGGAAUUCCUGGUGUAGAGGUGAAAUUCGUAGAUAUCAGGAGGAACACCGGUGGCGAAGGCGACUUCCUGGCCCUAUACUGACGCUGAGACGCGAGAGCGUGGGUAGCAAACAGGAUUAGAUACCCUGGUAGUCCACGCCGUAAACGAUGUUCACUAGGUGUUGGGGGUAUUGACCCUCUCAGUGCCGGAGCUAACGCAUUAAGUGAACCGCCUGGGGAGUACGGUCGCAAGACUAAA
This 376-nucleotide ribosomal RNA is filed under the name uncultured bacterium. Its description in RNAcentral is "bacterial SSU rRNA". It matches the Rfam family "Bacterial small subunit ribosomal RNA", at positions 524 to 898 of the family's 1533-position model. The record is from RNAcentral.